This is a long non-coding RNA of Hemicordylus capensis (graceful crag lizard), 587 nucleotides long. RefSeq lists it as uncharacterized. The record is from RefSeq and is a predicted model, not a curated record. The transcript has 2 exons. Lineage: Eukaryota; Metazoa; Chordata; Lepidosauria; Squamata; Cordylidae.
CCCACUGACCAAUCACCAUGGUGCUUCUCCUCUUACAGGCUCCUUCUCCCUAUCUGCAUAUGGAAUCCCCACUGCCCAAUCAGGUGCUUCUGCUUGCGAACUCUCACGAGAGCUGCCACACAUGGGAUUAGCCACAGGCCCAUAGCUACAGGAAAUUUGAAAUCUGAUUAACUGCGGAUUAAAAAUUGGGCUCCAUGUGACAAGCAAAGUCACUGUUUGGACACUACAGGAAUGCCAUUGAAGAAGGCCUGCUAUAGGCUGAAACAAGUCCAGCGAAAGUGAAUACAUUUGUGAGCUGUGAUGAAUGCCAGUGUCCUAGAAGACUCAGAACCUACUGGACCAUCGAAUUCAAGAACCAUUGAAUUUUUCUUACAUUUACACUAAACUACUAUUUAUUGAGAAACUUGCUAUAUGAAAGACUGAUUCGCAAGUUCUUAUAUUUCUUGAAUACUGACAUUGGUAGUUCCAGUAGUUAGGAUGAUUGUAAAAUGUAUGUCUUUUCAUGGAUAUGUGUUUUUAUUAGGUGACAUGUAUUGUUAAUAAUUAUGGGUCAUAAGAGUAUAUUUAUUAAAUAUCAAUUUGUUCCA